Molecule: unclassified non-coding RNA, 263 nt
Filed under: plant metagenome
Description: partial contains small subunit ribosomal RNA, internal transcribed spacer 1, and 5.8S ribosomal RNA
Source: RNAcentral
UUUCCGUAGGUGAACCUGCGGAAGGAUCAUUAUUGUAUAACCGAGGUGCGAGGGCUGUCGCUGACCCGAAAGGUCGUGCACGCCCGAGUGCCCUCACUCACAUCCAUCUCACCCCUAUGUGCACCACCGCGUGGGUCCCCCUUUGGCUUGUUCGGAGGGGGGCUUACGUUUUCACACAAACUUUGUAUGCAGUGUAGAAUGUAUUUUAUGUUUUUGCGAUCACGCAAUCAAUACAACUUUCAACAACGGAUCUCUUGGCUCUC